Molecule: ribosomal RNA, 484 nt
Filed under: uncultured bacterium
Lineage: Bacteria
Description: partial 16S ribosomal RNA
Rfam family: Bacterial small subunit ribosomal RNA
Source: RNAcentral
AUUGAACGCUGAUGGCAUGCUUUACACAUGCCAGUCGAACGGCAGCGCGGGCUUCGGCCUGGCGGCGAGUGGCGAACGGGUGAGUAAUGCAUCGGAACGUGCCCAGUAGUGGGGGAUAGCCCGGCGAAAGCCGGAUUAAUACCGCAUACGACCUGAGGGUGAAAGCGGGGGACCGAAAGGCCUCGCGCUAUUGGAGCGGCCGAUGUCGGAUUAGCUAGUUGGUGGGGUAAAGGCUUACCAAGGCGACGAUCCGUAGCUGGUCUGAGAGGACGACCAGCCACACUGGGACUGAGACACGGCCCAGACUCCUACGGGAGGCAGCAGUGGGGAAUUUUGGACAAUGGGGGCAACCCUGAUCCAGCCAUGCCGCGUGCGGGAAGAAGGCCUUCGGGUUGUAAACCGCUUUUGUUCGGGAAGAAAUCCUCUGGGCUAAUACCCCGGGGGGAUGACGGUACCGGAAGAAUAAGCACCGGCUAACUACGUG